GACAGGAUGUCCUAUAAGGAAUGUCAGUAUAGCCCAAGGUCUCUCCUCUCCCUGGGUGGGGACAGGAUGUCCUGUAAGGAAUGUCAGUAUAGCCCAAGGUCUCUCCCCUCCCUGGGUGGGGACAGGAUGUCCUAUAAGGAAUGUCAGUAUAGCCCAAGGUCUCUCCUCUCCCUGGGUGGGGACAGGAUGUCCUGUAAGGAAUGUCAGUAUAGCCCAAGGUCUCUCCUCUCCCUGGGUGGGGACAGGAUGUCCUGUAAGGAAUGUCAGUAUAGCCCAAGGUCUCUCCUCUCCCUGGGUGGGGACAGGAUGUCCUGUAAGGAAUGUCAGUAUAGCCCAAGGUCUCUCCUCUCCCUGGGUGGGGACAGGAUGUCCUGUAAGGAAUGUCAGUAUAGCCCAAGGUCUCUCCUCUCCCUGGGUGGGGACAGGAUGUCCUGUAAGGAAUGUCAGUAUAGCCCAAGGUCUCUCCUCUCCCUGGGUGGGGACAGGAUGUCCUGUAAGGAAUGUCAGUAUAGCCCAAGGUCUCUCCUCUCCCUGGGUGGGGACAGGAUGUCCUAUAAGGAAUGUCAGUAUAGCCCAAGGUCUCCCCUCCCUGGGUGGGGACAGGAUGUCCUAUAAGGAAUGUCAGUAUAGCCCAAGGUCUCUCCCCUCCCUGGGUGGGGACAGGAUGUCCUAUAAGGAAUGUCAGUAUAGCCCAAGGUCUCUCCUCUCCCUGGGUGGGGACAGGAUGUCCUGUAAGGAAUGUCAGUAUAGCCCAAGGUCUCUCCUCCCUGGGUGGGGACAGGAUGUCCAGUAAGGAACACAGCAUUCCAGCCGGUCUGACCAUAAACUCCAUUAGUUUCUAACAAGGAACAGACGGUCCUUGUUCUAAUUCUUGAUUAAAACUACACACGUUAUAUUCGGUAUUAUGAUUAUAAUAAGAUUCAUACAUCCAUACAGUAACAUAGUAGUAUUCUGUUUUAGUCAUAGUUGUGAUUUUAAAUGUAUAAAACAUUGAGUCAUUAUUCAUAAAAAUCCCUUUAACGAGAUGUGAAUAUAUCACACACAACA
This is a long non-coding RNA of Oncorhynchus keta (chum salmon), 1047 nucleotides long. RefSeq lists it as uncharacterized. The transcript is spliced from 6 exons. The record is from RefSeq and is a predicted model, not a curated record. NCBI's taxonomy places the organism in Eukaryota, Metazoa, Chordata, Actinopteri, Salmoniformes, Salmonidae.